Molecule: ribosomal RNA, 32 nt
Filed under: cf. Lactarius sp. EC267 B452
Lineage: Eukaryota; Fungi; Basidiomycota; Agaricomycetes; Russulales; Russulaceae
Description: partial 18S ribosomal RNA
Source: RNAcentral
UUCCGUAGGUGAACCUGCGGAAGGAUAUUAUC